AAAUUGAAGAGUUUGAUCAUGGCUCAGAUUGAACGCUGGCGGCAGGCCUAACACAUGCAAGUCGAACGGUAACAGGAAGCAGCUUGCUGCUUUGCUGACGAGUGGCGGACGGGUGAGUAAUGUCUGGGAAACUGCCUGAUGGAGGGGGAUAACUACUGGAAACGGUGGCUAAUACCGCAUAACGUCGCAAGACCAAAGAGGGGGACCUUCGGGCCUCUUGCCAUCAGAUGUGCCCAGAUGGGAUUAGCUUGUUGGUG
This 257-nucleotide ribosomal RNA is filed under the name Salmonella enterica subsp. enterica serovar Derby. Its description in RNAcentral is "partial 16S ribosomal RNA". It matches the Rfam family "Bacterial small subunit ribosomal RNA", at positions 1 to 254 of the family's 1533-position model. RNAcentral also lists the same sequence under 5 other names. The record is from RNAcentral. Lineage: Bacteria; Pseudomonadati; Pseudomonadota; Gammaproteobacteria; Enterobacterales; Enterobacteriaceae.